This 1051-nucleotide ribosomal RNA is filed under the name Halalkalibacter oceani. Its description in RNAcentral is "bacterial SSU rRNA". It matches the Rfam family "Bacterial small subunit ribosomal RNA", at positions 209 to 1250 of the family's 1533-position model. The record is from RNAcentral. Lineage: Bacteria; Bacillati; Bacillota; Bacilli; Caryophanales; Bacillaceae.
CGGCUAUCACUGGGGGAUGGGCCCGCGGCGCAUUAGCUAGUUGGUGAGGUAGAGGCUCACCAAGGCGACGAUGCGUAGCCGACCUGAGAGGGUGAUCGGCCACACUGGGACUGAGACACGGCCCAGACUCCUACGGGAGGCAGCAGUAGGGAAUCUUCCGCAAUGGACGAAAGUCUGACGGAGCAACGCCGCGUGAGUGAUGAAGGGUUUCGGCUCGUAAAGCUCUGUUGUUAGGGAAGAACAAGUAUCGUUCGAAUAGGGCGGUACCUUGACGGUACCUGACCAGAAAGCCACGGCUAACUACGUGCCAGCAGCCGCGGUAAUACGUAGGUGGCAAGCGUUGUCCGGAAUUAUUGGGCGUAAAGCGCGCGCAGGCGGUUUCUUAAGUCUGAUGUGAAAGCCCCCGGCUCAACCGGGGAGGGUCAUUGGAAACUGGGAGACUUGAGUGCAGAAGAGGAGAGUGGAAUUCCACGUGUAGCGGUGAAAUGCGUAGAUAUGUGGAGGAACACCAGUGGCGAAGGCGACUCUCUGGUCUGUAACUGACGCUGAGGCGCGAAAGCGUGGGGAGCAAACAGGAUUAGAUACCCUGGUAGUCCACGCCGUAAACGAUGAGUGCUAGGUGUUAGGGGUUUCGAUGCCCUUAGUGCCGAAGUUAACACAUUAAGCACUCCGCCUGGGGAGUACGACCGCAAGGUUGAAACUCAAAGGAAUUGACGGGGGCCCGCACAAGCAGUGGAGCAUGUGGUUUAAUUCGAAGCAACGCGAAGAACCUUACCAGGUCUUGACAUCCUUUGACCACUCUGGAGACAGAGCUUUCCCCUUCGGGGGACAAAGUGACAGGUGGUGCAUGGUUGUCGUCAGCUCGUGUCGUGAGAUGUUGGGUUAAGUCCCGCAACGAGCGCAACCCUUGACCUUAGUUGCCAGCAUUCAGUUGGGCACUCUAAGGUGACUGCCGGUGACAAACCGGAGGAAGGUGGGGAUGACGUCAAAUCAUCAUGCCCCUUAUGACCUGGGCUACACACGUGCUACAAUGGAUGGUACAAAGGGCAGC